Molecule: long non-coding RNA, 1830 nt
Organism: Salvia miltiorrhiza (redroot sage)
Lineage: Eukaryota; Viridiplantae; Streptophyta; Magnoliopsida; Lamiales; Lamiaceae
Exons: 2
Source: RefSeq, a predicted model, not a curated record
GUGGUUUUUCCGAUUUAUGUUCUGAAUCUGCCAAACUUGAACUCUUUUUGUGCACUGAACUUUAGAUAGUCAUAUCUUCUAAACCAUGAAGGUUCUUAGAGUAAAUCCAACUGGAGAGUGUUAUGAUCUCUCCCUAGUUUCCAGAUUGACCUUUGGGGUUCCCAGUGGAGUUUUGUAAAGGGAGAUAUGAAUUUUUAAAGAAAGCCCACUGACUUGGUUGUAAUCUGGAAAUAUGAAAUUUACAGAUUUUUGCUUGUUAAAUAACCAUCUUUGAGAGGGCAUAUCUUGCUCGUUUGAAUUGUUUUUCAUUCGAUUCAAAUUGGAGAAUGAUCCUUGAAAUGUCUAGUUUCCAGAAUGUCUUUUGGAGCCUCAUUUGGAGAUCCGAGGUAGAUUUGGAGUCUGUUGUAAAACAACCCCUUAAGAGCUCAAGUUGUUGAAUUAUUUUCUAUGUAUCAAAGUUUAUUUUAAAGGAUGUUUCGUGAAAGAUUUAGUAUAUGUGCGUAACAAGUUUGGGACUAUUUAUUUUAAAUGAGGUCCGUUCUUUAUUUAAAUUAGGAUGGACUUUUAAUGAAUAUUUUUGGGAUUAAACUAUUAUUUCUUGAUUUAUAUAAAUUAUUUUUAAGGACUUAUAAAUAUGAAUUUCGUAGGCCUACUGACCUACUGUGAUCGACGGUUUGUCGAUGUCUAAUAGCUUUGAAAAUUUUAUAGAAAGUCCCUACAUGAGUCUUGAGUACCCUGGUAAAAUUUCAAGCCAUUCCAACUUCGUAUGAUACUUCUUUAAAAUGCAAAACCUAAACUGCACAUUACUACUGAGAAUUUCAGAGAACAGAGAAAAGAGUCAUUUAUUUCAGUAGCUUCCUGGGUGAUCUAGCUUUCCAAAUUUUUAUGGUAUUAACCUUAUUGUGUUAUUUAGAUAUCCACCAAAGUUGAGCCCAGUUUGACAACAUUUACUAUUUUUCAAAAAUACAAGUUUUCGAUUGUUCAAAACUGCCGAACAUGGUAGAUCGUGGUAAAAACGUCAUAUCUCUCAAACCACUUGGCGUUUUCGACUCUAUUUUUUUUUAUAUGAAACUAGACUCGAAGAUCUUUCUUUCGGUAUGAGUCUCGAGUCCAGGAGAUGUCGGAGUCAGAACAGAUUAAAUUUUGAAGUUGAGUCAGUGUAAAAGCAGAGCAUGUUUUGAUGAUGUUUGAUUGUGAUUCUUAUGUGCCUUAUGUUGAGCCUUUUUAUUUUAUUUUAUUUUUUUAAUUUUAUAACAUUACUUGUUCUUAUUUAUUAAGCCCGAUUAAUUAUGAGAUUAUAAAGCGAAUAAGUUGAAGUAUUUAUUUUCUAUUGACUACGAGGAACGGGGUUUAUUUAAUUGACGGAUUAGAACACCCGAUGAGAACGGAUUGAUUAUGAUAAUCUAUCCGACCUCAUGUGACGAGCCUUAUUUAAAUUAUUUUAUUUCGACAAUUAGGAUUUAUAAUAGAAUUUCCCAGAUUAUUAUCUCAGAAUAAUAAUUAUCGGAAUAUGAGUCAUGCAUAGUUAAAUUACGCAUUCUCAUUAAUUGAGGAUUUUAUUCGAGCAGUAUCUUAUUUAUAUUCUCGUAAUAAAGGUCAAACACGAGAUUAAUAAUCAGUCAAGGAGCUACUGUACCACAGAAAAUUUCUAUCAGGUUGAGCAGCUGCCGAUGGUGAUGAAGUGACGAGCGGGAUUCUUUUGUCUUAUUAUGUAUUAAUGAACUCUAGGGUUACAUGUCUUCAUACAUGUAAUCAGAACCUUAUUCCGCUGCGUACUCAGAAGUUUUAUGUUAUUUUGGAUAAGUCGGAGUUAUCCGAACUUGUUAGUUA